UGAAUCACUGGAAAUGCUCAAUC
RNAcentral lists this non-coding RNA (23 nucleotides) under Rattus norvegicus (Norway rat). Lineage: Eukaryota; Metazoa; Chordata; Mammalia; Rodentia; Muridae. The record is from RNAcentral.